UACGAAAAUGAAAUUUCAAGA
This 21-nucleotide non-coding RNA is filed under the name Caenorhabditis elegans. The record is from RNAcentral. Lineage: Eukaryota; Metazoa; Nematoda; Chromadorea; Rhabditida; Rhabditidae.